This 119-nucleotide ribosomal RNA is filed under the name Pteropus alecto (black flying fox). Lineage: Eukaryota; Metazoa; Chordata; Mammalia; Chiroptera; Pteropodidae. The record is from RNAcentral.
GUCUACGGCCAUACCACCCUGAACGCGCCUGAUCUCGUCUGAUCUCGGAAGCUAAGCAGGGUCGGUCCUGCUUAGUGCUUGGAUGGGAGACUGCCUGGGAAUACCUGGUGCUGUAGGCU